UGGCGGACGGGUGAGUAACGCGUGAGUAACCUGCCUUACACAAGGGGAUAGCCGUUGGAAACGACGAAUAAUACCCUAUAACAUUAACCAAUCGCAUGAUAGGUUAAUCAAAGAUUUAUCGGUGUAAGAUGGACUCGCGUCUGAUUAGCUAGUUGGUGGGGUAACAGCCUACCAAGGCAACGAUCAGUAGCCGGUCUGAGAGGAUGAACGGCCACAUUGGAACUGAGACACGGUCCAAACUCCUACGGGAGGCAGCAGCG
RNAcentral lists this ribosomal RNA (260 nucleotides) under uncultured Anaerococcus sp. RNAcentral's name for it is "partial 16S ribosomal RNA". It matches the Rfam family "Bacterial small subunit ribosomal RNA", at positions 96 to 356 of the family's 1533-position model. Lineage: Bacteria; Bacillati; Bacillota; Tissierellia; Tissierellales; Peptoniphilaceae. The record is from RNAcentral.